RNAcentral lists this ribosomal RNA (448 nucleotides) under uncultured bacterium. RNAcentral describes it as "bacterial SSU rRNA". It matches the Rfam family "Bacterial small subunit ribosomal RNA", at positions 29 to 524 of the family's 1533-position model. The record is from RNAcentral.
AGCGAACGCUGGCGGCAGGCCUAACACAUGCAAGUCGAACGGAUCCUUCGGGAUUAGUGGCGGACGGGUGAGUAACACGUGGGAACGUGCCCUUUGGUUCGGAACAACUCAGGGAAACUUGAGCUAAUACCGGAUGUGCCCUUCGGGGAAAGAUUUAUCGCCAUUGGAGCGGCCCGCGUCUGAUUAGCUAGUUGGUGAGGUAAAGGCUCACCAAGGCGACGAUCAGUAGCUGGUCUGAGAGGAUGAUCAGCCACAUUGGGACUGAGACACGGCCCAAACUCCUACGGGAGGCAGCAGUGGGGAAUCUUGCGCAAUGGGCGAAAGCCUGACGCAGCCAUGCCGCGUGAAUGAUGAAGGUCUUAGGAUUGUAAAAUUCUUUCACCGGGGACGAUAAUGACGGUACCCGGAGAAGAAGCCCCGGCUAACUCGUGCCAGCAGCCGCGGUAAU